UGUCAAGCCAGCCAUGCUUCACUGAACUCCCUUCCACUUUGUUGCCAUGCUUCCUCUUUCUGGUUAAGUGAACCUCAAAACAAUGACAAAGAAAUAUGCCCCCGAGUCACAUAUUCUAAGAAAUAGACUGUACUCUCCUCAAAUCGAAAUAAAGGCACUUUAAUUCUUUGGAUUUUUCCACAUUUUCGUUGCUAAAGCUCCUAUUUGCUUUCUUUGAAUCUGUAUCAGUUCAUGCAAGUUCUACCAGGGGGGGAAGCGACACAAGACCCUGCCACUUUAGCACGUGAAAUAUUAAGAUGAACAGAGCCCGUAAAAGGUUUUGAUUGCCACUUUCAAGAAACCCUUAGUCAUUGAUUAGCCAAUUACGGAUCGCAUUUCCAAAGGUGGGGAACCUGGAAAUAUUGAAUGUCCUCUGAGUUCAUGGGGCUUUGGCAGUGGGAAAGCUAAACAAAACGGAGCACAGAGAGAGUGUGAGACAGACUUUCCCAAGAUCCCCAGGUGGGUUUCAUAUACUGCCUACCUCAAGAGUGAGUCUGGUUCAGCUUCCCACAGUGGCCAUAAGGGCCAAAUUAUCUUACCCCAGCUAUUGUUCGCUGCUAGAGCCAGAUCUACAAAG
RNAcentral lists this long non-coding RNA (616 nucleotides) under Bos indicus x Bos taurus (hybrid cattle). RNAcentral describes it as "lncRNA (ENSBIXG00005012179.1)". The record is from RNAcentral. Lineage: Eukaryota; Metazoa; Chordata; Mammalia; Artiodactyla; Bovidae.